Molecule: ribosomal RNA, 627 nt
Filed under: Ophiostoma floccosum
Lineage: Eukaryota; Fungi; Ascomycota; Sordariomycetes; Ophiostomatales; Ophiostomataceae
Description: eukaryotic LSU rRNA
Rfam family: Eukaryotic large subunit ribosomal RNA
Source: RNAcentral
UUGACCUCGGAUCAGGUAGGACUACCCGCUGAACUUAAGCAUAUCAAUAAGCGGAGGAAAAGAAACCAACAGGGAUUGCCCCAGUAACGGCGAGUGAAGCGGCAACAGCUCAAAUUUGAAAUCUGGCCUUCGGGUCCGAGUUGUAAUUUGGAGAGGAUGCUUCUGGCGCGGCGCCGUCCGAGUUCCUUGGAACAGGACGCCAUAGAGGGUGAGAGCCCCGUACGGGCGGCCGCCUAGCCUUUGUGAAGCUCCUUCGACGAGUCGAGUAGUUUGGGAAUGCUGCUCAAAAUGGGAGGUAAAUUUCUUCUAAAGCUAAAUAUUGGCCAGAGACCGAUAGCGCACAAGUAGAGUGAUCGAAAGAUGAAAAGCACUUUGAAAAGAGGGUUAAAAAGUACGUGAAAUUGUUGAAAGGGAAGCGCCUGUGACCAGACUUGCGACCCGCGGAUCAUCCGGUGUUCUUCACCGGUGCACUCCGCGGGCUGCAGGCCAGCAUCGGUUUUCCUAGGGGGAUAAAGGUCGCGGGAACGUAGCUCUUUCGGGAGUGUUAUAGCCCGUGGCGUCAUGCCUCUGGGGGGACCGAGGACCGCGCUUCGGCAAGGAUGCUGGCGUAAUGGUCACCGGCGACCG